AUUGAACGCUGGCGGCAUGCCUUACACAUGCAAGUCGAACGGUAACGCGGGGGCAACCCUGGCGACGAGUGGCGAACGGGUGAGUAAUACAUCGGAACGUACCCAGUAGUGGGGGAUAGCUCGGCGAAAGCCGGAUUAAUACCGCAUACGACCUAUGGGUGAAAGCGGGGGAUCGCAAGACCUCGCGCUAUUGGAGCGGCCGAUGUCGGAUUAGCUAGUUGGUGAGGUAAAAGCNCACCAAGGCUACGAUCCGUAGCUGGUCUGAGAGGACGACCAGCCACACUGGGACUGAGACACGGCCCAGACUCCUACGGGAGGCAGCAGUGGGGAAUUUUGGACAAUGGGCGAAAGCCUGAUCCAGCCAUGCCGCGUGUGUGAAGAAGG
This 384-nucleotide ribosomal RNA is filed under the name uncultured bacterium. Its description in RNAcentral is "bacterial SSU rRNA". It matches the Rfam family "Bacterial small subunit ribosomal RNA", at positions 29 to 414 of the family's 1533-position model. The record is from RNAcentral.